RNAcentral lists this ribosomal RNA (255 nucleotides) under uncultured bacterium. Its description in RNAcentral is "partial 16S ribosomal RNA". It matches the Rfam family "Bacterial small subunit ribosomal RNA", at positions 524 to 776 of the family's 1533-position model. The record is from RNAcentral.
UACGUAGGAGACGAGCGUUGUCCGGAAUCACUGGGCGUAAAGCGCGUGUAGGCGGAUCGGCAAGUCUGCUGUGAAAGCUCCUGGCUUAACCGGGAGUGGUCGGUGGAAACUGCCAGUCUGGAAGACGGUAGAGGUAGGUAGAAUUCCCGGUGUAGUGGUGAAAUGCGUAGAGAUCGGGAGGAAUACCGUGUGGCGAAGGCGGCCUACUGGGCCGGACCUGGACGCUGAGACGCGAAGGCGUGGGGAGCGAACGGG